GGCCUCGUAGCUCAGCUGGUAGAGCAUGCGCGUACAAAGCGUAGGCGGCGUGGGUUCCAAUCCCAUCGAGGCUG
This 74-nucleotide transfer RNA is filed under the name Echinostoma caproni. It matches the Rfam family "tRNA". From Rfam's summary of the family: Transfer RNA (tRNA) molecules are approximately 80 nucleotides in length. Their secondary structure includes four short double-helical elements and three loops (D, anti-codon, and T loops). Lineage: Eukaryota; Metazoa; Platyhelminthes; Trematoda; Plagiorchiida; Echinostomatidae. The record is from Rfam by way of RNAcentral.